GAUGAACGCUGGCGGCGUGCCUAAUACAUGCAAGUCGAGCGAACGGACGAGAAGCUUGCUUUUCUGAUGUUAGCGGCGGACGGGUGAGUAACACGUGGAUAACCUACCUAUAAGACUUGGAUAACUUCGGGAAACCGGAGCUAAUACCGGAUAAUAUUUUGAACCGCAUGGUUCAAAAGUGAAAGACGGUCUUUCUGUCACUUAUAGAUGGAUCCGCGCUGCAUUAGCUAGUUGGUAAGGUAACGGCUUACCAAGGCAACGAUGCAUAGCCGACCUGAGAGGGGGAUCGGCAACAAUGGAACUGAGAAACGGUCCAGACACCGACGGGAGGCAGCAGUAGGGAAUAUUCCGCAAUGGGCGAAAGCAUGACGGAGCAACGCCGCGUGAGUGAUGAAGGUCUUCGGAUCGUAAAACUCUGUUAUUAGGGAAGAACAUAUGUGUAAGUAACUGUGCACAUCUUGACGGUACCUAAUCAGAAAGCCACGGCUAACUACGUG
RNAcentral lists this ribosomal RNA (497 nucleotides) under uncultured bacterium. RNAcentral describes it as "partial 16S ribosomal RNA". It matches the Rfam family "Bacterial small subunit ribosomal RNA", at positions 28 to 507 of the family's 1533-position model. The record is from RNAcentral.